Molecule: long non-coding RNA, 306 nt
Filed under: Aquilegia coerulea
Lineage: Eukaryota; Viridiplantae; Streptophyta; Magnoliopsida; Ranunculales; Ranunculaceae
Description: long non-coding RNA (ACOE_LNC001293)
Source: RNAcentral
AGGAUUUUACAACAUGCAUCGUUGCAUCUAGAAGACUCAACCCACCAUUGCUAGUGCAGUUCUGUAUCUCUAUUAAGGAAUCCAAAUACACAGGCAUAAAAGAAUGUGAUAUACAUAUAAUAAGUCAUAAUAUGGAUAAGAAAGAUAAGAGAAAAAAAAAAGGAUAUUUUGUUGUUGACGAGUCUCCUGUUAGAAGAUCCCGUACUUGCUCAUUAUAUAUUUCAACCAUCUGAACUUGAAUCUCAUACUUAACAAUAUCCUUCCAGCUGGUACACGAUAUCUCGAAAAGAUCAUUCAAAGCUAAAU